This 74-nucleotide transfer RNA is filed under the name Planctomycetota bacterium. RNAcentral describes it as "tRNA-Asp". It matches the Rfam family "tRNA". Rfam says of the family: Transfer RNA (tRNA) molecules are approximately 80 nucleotides in length. The record is from RNAcentral. Lineage: Bacteria; Pseudomonadati; Planctomycetota.
GGGGAUGUAGCUCAACUGGUUAGAGCACCGGCCUGUCACGCCGGAGGUUGCGGGUUCGAGCCCCGUCGUCCUCG